GUCAGGAUGGCCGAGCUGUCCAAGGCGCUGCGUUCAGGUCGCAGUCCGGUCUUCCGGGCGUGGGUUCGAAUCCCACUUCUCACA
RNAcentral lists this transfer RNA (84 nucleotides) under Rhipicephalus sanguineus (brown dog tick). RNAcentral's name for it is "transfer RNA leucine (anticodon CAG)". It matches the Rfam family "tRNA". From Rfam's summary of the family: Transfer RNA (tRNA) molecules are approximately 80 nucleotides in length. The record is from Rfam by way of RNAcentral. Lineage: Eukaryota; Metazoa; Arthropoda; Arachnida; Ixodida; Ixodidae.